This 235-nucleotide long non-coding RNA is filed under the name Sus scrofa (pig). Its description in RNAcentral is "lncRNA (ENSSSCG00065043977.1)". Lineage: Eukaryota; Metazoa; Chordata; Mammalia; Artiodactyla; Suidae. The record is from RNAcentral.
GAUGCAGCUCCUCCCACCUCCCACCCCCACCGCCACCAAAUGCCCCGUCAUAUGAGGGAGGAGGGCUUGGACAUGAGCAAGUGCUGGGGAAGCAAAAAGCCACAGUUGUGAGUGUUCCAGAACUCCUGAGUGGAAGAGAGACUGCGAUGGAUGCAAAGAAGCCGAGGAAAUGCAGUUUGACAUCCUUCCCGAUUUUGAAAGCGAGAAAGAAACAAAAUCUCACCGCUGUGAAGGU